Xiphophorus hellerii (green swordtail) is the source of this 352-nucleotide long non-coding RNA. RefSeq lists it as uncharacterized. The transcript is spliced from 3 exons. Lineage: Eukaryota; Metazoa; Chordata; Actinopteri; Cyprinodontiformes; Poeciliidae. The record is from RefSeq and is a predicted model, not a curated record.
CGCUCCUUGGCUGGGAGCAUGCCGACUCUGCUUGCUGCUGGAGCUGCUCGGCGCCACCGCAGGCUUGCUGCUGAAGCGAUCACCAACAUGUCAUGAGUUCAGAUUGGACAGCUGUAAAGCUUAGGGUCAAGGGGUGAAGUGGACCUGAUGGCAAACAUGUGGAUCACGGGCAUGGGCGUGAACAACACUUUGGGCGAGGGCUCACUAAGAUGGAUGUUCUUUCUGUUCCAACCGGCACCUUCCAGAUACACCUGCUGUUAUUGCUCCUCACAGGUAUGACUGCCGGACAAAAAGUGGCAAGAAACUCACCGUAGGUGGGCCAGUGAUUUCAUCCCUUGCCUUUUUCAAAACU